Molecule: ribosomal RNA, 305 nt
Filed under: uncultured bacterium
Lineage: Bacteria
Description: bacterial SSU rRNA
Rfam family: Bacterial small subunit ribosomal RNA
Source: RNAcentral
AUUGGCCUACGGGGGGCAGCAGUGGGGAAUAUUGCACAAUGGGCGAAAGCCUGAUGCAGCAACGCCGCGUGAGCGAUGAAGGCAUUCGGGUCGUAAAGCUCUGUCCUCAAGGAAGAUAAUGACGGUACUUGAGGAGGAAGCCCCGGCUAACUACGUGCCAGCAGCCGCGGUAAUACGUAGGGGGCUAGCGUUAUCCGGAUUUAUUGGGUUUAAAGGGUGCGUAGGCGGUCUGUUAAGUCAGCGGUAAAAUUGCGGGGCUCAACCCCGUCGAGCCGUUGAAACUGGCAGACUUGAGUUGGCGAGAA